Molecule: ribosomal RNA, 586 nt
Filed under: uncultured Jeotgalibacillus sp.
Lineage: Bacteria; Bacillati; Bacillota; Bacilli; Caryophanales; Caryophanaceae
Description: bacterial SSU rRNA
Rfam family: Bacterial small subunit ribosomal RNA
Source: RNAcentral
CUACGGGAGGCAGCAGUAGGGAAUCUUCCGCAAUGGACGAAAGUCUGACGGAGCAACGCCGCGUGAGUGAAGAAGGUUUUCGGAUCGUAAAACUCUGUUGUUAGGGAAGAACACGUACGAGAGUAACUGCUCGUACCUUGACGGUACCUAACCAGAAAGCCACGGCUAACUACGUGCCAGCAGCCGCGGUAAUACGUAGGUGGCAAGCGUUGUCCGGAAUUAUUGGGCGUAAAGCGCGCGCAGGUGGUUCUUUAAGUCUGAUGUGAAAGCCCCCGGCUCAACCGGGGAGGGUCAUUGGAAACUGGGGAACUUGAGUGCAGGAGAGGAAAGUGGAAUUCCACGUGUAGCGGUGAAAUGCGUAGAUAUGUGGAGGAACACCAGUGGCGAAGGCGACUUUCUGGCCUGUAACUGACACUGAGGCGCGAAAGCGUGGGGAGCAAACAGGAUUAGAUACCCUGGUAGUCCACGCCGUAAACGAUGAGUGCUAAGUGUUGGGGGGUUUCCGCCCCUCAGUGCUGCAGCUAACGCAUUAAGCACUCCGCCUGGGGAGUACGGUCGCAAGACUGAAACUCAAAGGAAUUGACGG